Molecule: ribosomal RNA, 429 nt
Filed under: Acidobacteriota bacterium
Lineage: Bacteria; Pseudomonadati; Acidobacteriota
Description: Acidobacteria bacterium partial 16S ribosomal RNA
Rfam family: Bacterial small subunit ribosomal RNA
Source: RNAcentral
UGGGGAAUUUUGGACAAUGGGCGCAAGCCUGAUCUAGCCAUGCCGCGUGCGGGAAGAAGGCCUUCGGGUUGUAAACCGCUUUUGUCAGGGAAGAAAAGGCUCUGGCUAAUACCUGGGACUCAUGACGGUACCUGAAGAAUAAGCACCGGCUAACUACGUGCCAGCAGCCGCGGUAAUACGUAGGGUGCAAGCGUUAAUCGGAAUUACUGGGCGUAAAGCGUGCGCAGGCGGUUAUGCAAGACAGAGGUGAAAUCCCCGGGCUCGACCUGAGAACUGCCUUUGUGACUGCAUGGCUAGAGUGCGGUAGGGGGGGAUGGAAUUCCGCGUGUAGCAGUGAAAUGCGUAGAUAUGCGGAAGAACACCGAUGGCGAAGGCAAUCCCCUGGACCUGUACUGACGCUCAUGCACGAAAGCGUGGGGAGCAAACAGG